Molecule: long non-coding RNA, 110 nt
Organism: Tupaia belangeri chinensis (Chinese tree shrew)
Lineage: Eukaryota; Metazoa; Chordata; Mammalia; Scandentia; Tupaiidae
Exons: 3
Source: RefSeq, a predicted model, not a curated record
UGUCAUCAGUGUUCUGCCUACUAUUGAUCAGUCCUUAAAAGGAGUUACUACAUCUUCCUUUUCCUACCUUCCCUGAGAAGGAUCUGGAACCCAUCAGGAACUGGAACCCA